GGAGUUUGGGCCGUGUCUCAGUCCCAAUGUGGCCGUUCACCCUCUCAGGCCGGCUACUGAUCGUCGCUUUGGUGGGCCGUUACCCCGCCAACUGGCUAAUCAGACGCGGGUCCAUCUCAUACCACCGGAGUUUUUCACACUGCAUCAUGCGAUGCUGUGCGCUUAUGCGGUAUUAUCAACCGUUUCCAGUUGUUAUCCCCCUGUAUGAGGCAGGUUACCCACGCGUUACUCACCCGUCCGCCACUAAGUCAACCAGAGCAAGCCCCGGUUGCUUCGUUCGACUUGCAUGUGUUAGGCACGCCGCCAGCGUUCAUC
RNAcentral lists this ribosomal RNA (315 nucleotides) under uncultured Lachnospiraceae bacterium. Its description in RNAcentral is "partial 16S ribosomal RNA". Lineage: Bacteria; Bacillati; Bacillota; Clostridia; Lachnospirales; Lachnospiraceae. The record is from RNAcentral.